This 336-nucleotide unclassified non-coding RNA is filed under the name soil metagenome. Its description in RNAcentral is "partial contains 5.8S ribosomal RNA, internal transcribed spacer 2, and large subunit ribosomal RNA". The stretch from base 1 to 120 matches the Rfam family "5.8S ribosomal RNA", at positions 35 to 154 of the family's 154-position model. The record is from RNAcentral.
GAUGAAGAACGUAGCGAAAUGCGAUAAGUAGUGUGAAUUGCAGAAUUCAGUGAAUCAUCGAAUCUUUGAACGCACAUUGCGCCGCUUGGUAAUCCAUGGGGCAUGCCUGUUCGAGCGUCAUUUGUACCUUCAAGCUUUGCUUGGUGUUGGGUGUUUGUCUCGCCUUUGCGUGUAGACUCGCCUUAAAAUAAUUGGCAGCCGGCGUAUUGAUUUCGGAGCGCAGUACAUCUCGCGCUUUGCACUCAUAACGACAGCGUCCAAAAGUACAUUUUACACUCUUGACCUCGGAUCAGGUAGGGAUACCCGCUGAACUUAAGCAUAUCAAUAAGCGGAGGA